CCUACGGGGUGCAGCAGUGAGGAAUAUUGGUCAAUGGGCUUACGCCUGAACCAGCCAAGUCGCGUGAGGGAAGACUGCCCUAUGGGUUGUAAACCUCUUUUGUCAGGGAGCAACGCCGGCUACGUGUAGCCGGACUGAGAGUACCUGAAGAAAAAGCAUCGGCUAACUCCGUGCCAGCAGCCGCGGUAAUACGGAGGAUGCGAGCUUUAUCCGGAUUUAUUGGGUUUAAGGGGUGCGUAGGCGGAAUGCCAAGUCAGCGGUAAAAUCGCGGGGCUCAACCUCGCUCCGCCGUUGAAACUGGCGGUCUUGAGUGGGCUAGAAGUAUGCGGAAUGCGUGGUGUAGCGGUGAAAUGCAUAGAUAUCACGCAGAACUCCGAUUGCGAAGGCAGCAUACCGGCGCCCAACUGACGCUGAAGCACGAAAGCGUGGGUAUCGAACAGGAUUAGAUACCCCUGUAGUC
RNAcentral lists this ribosomal RNA (460 nucleotides) under uncultured bacterium. RNAcentral's name for it is "partial 16S ribosomal RNA". It matches the Rfam family "Bacterial small subunit ribosomal RNA", at positions 338 to 795 of the family's 1533-position model. The record is from RNAcentral.